CUAAGUAUAAGCAACUAUACGGCGAAACUGCGAAUGGCUCAUUAAAUCAGUUAUUGUUUAUUUGAUAGCACCUUACUACAUGGAUAACCGUGGUAAUUCUAGAGCUAAUACAUGCUAAAAAUCCCGACUUCGGAAGGGAUGUAUUUAUUAGAUUAAAAACCAAUGCCCCUCGGGGCUCUCUGGUGAUUCAUGAUAACUUCUCGAAUCGCACGGCCUUGCGCCGGCGAUGGUUCAUUCAAAUUUCUGCCCUAUCAACUUUCGACGGCUGGGUCUUGGCCAGCCAUGGUGACAACGGGUAACGGAGGGUUAGGGCUCGACCCCGGAGAAGGAGCCUGAGAAACGGCUACUACGUCCAAGGAAGGCAGCAGGCGCGCAAAUUAACCAAUCCCGACACGGGGAGUUAGUGACGAUACAUACUGAUACAGGGCUCUUUUGGGUCUUGUAAUCGGAAUGAGUACAAUUUAAACCUCUUAACGAUCAACAAUUGGAGGGCAAGUCUGGUGCCAGCAGCCGCGGUAAUUCCAGCUCCAAUAGCGUAUAUUAAAGUUGUUGCAGUUAAAAAGCUCGUAGUUGAACCUUGGGCCUGGCUGGCCGGUCCGCCUCACCGCGUGCACUGGUCCGGCCGGGCCUUUCCCUCUGGGGAACCUCAUGCCCUUCACUGGGUGUGCUGGGGAACCAGGACUUUUACUUUGAACAAAUCAGAUCGCUUAAAGAAGGCCUAUGCUCGAAUAUAUUAGCAUGGAAUAAUAGAAUAGGACGUGUGGUUCUAUUUUGUUGGUUUCUAGGACCGCCGUAAUGAUUAAUAGGGACAGUCGGGGGCAUCAGUAUUCAAUUGUCAGAGGUGAAAUUCUUGGAUUUAUUGAAGACUAACUACUGCGAAAGCAUUUGCCAAGGAUGUUUUCAUUAAUCAGGAACGAAAGUUAGGGGAUCGAAGACGAUCAGAUACCGUCGUAGUCUUAACCAUAAACUAUGCCGACUAGGGAUCGGACGAUGUUAUUCAUUGACUCGUUCGGCACCUUUCACGAAAGUAAAGUUUUUGGGUUCUGGGGGGAGUAUGGUCGCAAGGCUGAAACUUAAAGAAAUUGACGGAAGGGCACCACCAGGGGUAAACCAGCAGUUAACUCUGCCCCGAAAAGCAGCCCGAGAGAAAGGGUUAGUGGUGAUCCUCGGCGCUAGGAUACCGGCGCCGGAACUAAGUGCUAGUCUGCCACGGGUUGACUCCCGGCGCAGGCGACACCUUCAAACUGCGGGAAGUUCCUAAAGCUUGCGUGACUAACCGGCGGGCGAAAGCUCGUCGGGGCCCGGCUAACCGCCACAGGGGAGUAACACUACGCAAGAUGACACAAUGGAUGAUCCGCAGCCAAGCUCCUACCGCCAGCCUCGCUAGCUACGGAGAAGGUUCAGAGACUUGAUGGAGGUGGUUGCAGCUGAUUGGGUUCUCACAACUCUGGCUUUCAGAGGGGCCCGGCGCUGCGGCUAAGAUAAAGUCCGGCUCUGUGGGAAACCACAGGGGUUAGAACGGGAGCCUGCGGCUUAAUUUGACUCAACACGGGGAAACUCACCAGGUCCAGACACAAGUAGGAUUGACAGAUUGAGAGCUCUUUCUUGAUUUUGUGGGUGGUGGUGCAUGGCCGUUCUUAGUUGGUGGAGUGAUUUGUCAGCUUAAUUGCGAUAACGAACGAGACCUUAACCUGCUAAAUAGCCCGCGUUGCCUUGGCAGCGCGCUGGCUUCUUAGAGGGACUAUCGGCUCAAGCCGAUGGAAGUUUGAGGCAAUAACAGGUCUGUGAUGCCCUUAGAUGUUCUGGGCCGCACGGUACGUACAUACUUCCCCUAAUCAACCCCCUAAACCCGAAGAAUUUUUACUAACUUUGUUUACAGCGCGCUACACUGACAGAGCCAGCGAGUACUCCCUUGGCCGAAAGGCCUGGGUAAUCUUGUUAAACUCUGUCGUGCUGGGGAUAGAGCAUUGCAAUUAUUGCUCUUCAACGAGGAAUCCCUAGUAAGCGCAAGUCAUCAGCUUGCGUUGAUUACGUCCCUGCCCUUUGUACACACCGCCCGUCGCUACUACCGAUUGAAUGGCUCAGUGAGGCUUUCGGACUGGCCCAGAGAGGUUGGCAACGACCACUCAGGGCCGGAAAGUUAUCCAA
RNAcentral lists this ribosomal RNA (2148 nucleotides) under Phialemonium globosum. Its description in RNAcentral is "SSU rRNA". It matches the Rfam family "Eukaryotic small subunit ribosomal RNA". Lineage: Eukaryota; Fungi; Ascomycota; Sordariomycetes; Cephalothecales; Cephalothecaceae. The record is from RNAcentral.